Long non-coding RNA from Neofelis nebulosa (Clouded leopard), 1002 nucleotides. RefSeq lists it as uncharacterized. The transcript is spliced from 3 exons. The record is from RefSeq and is a predicted model, not a curated record. Lineage: Eukaryota; Metazoa; Chordata; Mammalia; Carnivora; Felidae.
ACCUUCCCUAGAAAGGAAGAAGCAGGAAGGGCACCAUCACCAGCAUACAAACACAUUUGCACCCAACACCAUGUCUUAAGUAUUUACAGGGUGGAGGCUGGAGAACUGAGAGGAAUACCAUACCUCUCUGAAAAUUUAAUGCGUCUGCAUCAAACUCAGAAAUAUUUAUUACUUUCUUAAAAAAAUAAACUAAACUUUGGAUCUGGCUUGAAAUACACAAGAGAAAUUACUAAUCUUUUACAAAUUAAACUUCAAGAAAAGGAUGAACAGGAAGAAAGUGUAAUCAAGGCAUUAAUCUCUCUUUAAUUUUUACUAUAUUGUUCCUUCUCCUGAUAAGGUAGCCAGAGAAGAGUUACACAAAGAUCCUCCUUCCUUUUGCUUCAGUCCUUCAGGCUCAGUACCUGAAUGUCAGCAAGAACAGGCCCCAGCAGAGAACACUCACAUCCAAGCCUUCCUUAAAUGAUGGUAGAGCUGUGGAGCGAUUAAAAGUAAAGCUUGAGCACACAGCUCCCUUUCUUCAUGCAAUAAACAGGCCAGGCAAAGUGAUGAAAACAAAAACACAAGAGCUUUGGAGCUGUUUCCUAUACUCACCCACAAUGGUCAUGUUGCAAUUGAAGGUGAUGAGAAGGAAUCCCAGCAGGUCCAAACGUUCCAUGCCUCCUAGCGUCACAGACUCAAGGUUGUUGGAGACAUCGGAAGCCUGUGUUCUCCAAGAAAGUGGAAAUUCUUUGCAGGAAUAAAUGUAUCUUCCCUACAAAAGACUUAAAGAUUGGAACAUGGAGACAGACCAGAAGUUGAAGAUGUGAAAAGAUGUCUCAAAGUACAACUGUUUCAAAUGGUCAUUAGGAGCAAUUUAAGUGACCAAGGAUAGUAUGUGCAUGAGCUUCUGACAUUAGCUACGUGGAUGCUUCCUCUAUUCAGAGCUGAGUAGAGAAAAGCCUUCCCCUAAAGGAUGAUUUCAGGCAAGAAUUUAUUUUAGCUAUCAACAUGAGAGUUUGCUGA